This 564-nucleotide ribosomal RNA is filed under the name Triticum aestivum (bread wheat). Its description in RNAcentral is "partial small subunit ribosomal RNA". Lineage: Eukaryota; Viridiplantae; Streptophyta; Magnoliopsida; Poales; Poaceae. The record is from RNAcentral.
AUGCUUUUAUAUCUAAGUAUUUUUCCUCCCGCUAAGAUCAUCUCUCUUAGAAACGAUGUCAUGAAUUUUAAGCAACUUGAUCAUGAACAUGUUGCACAAGCUUGGGAGAGGAUGAAAUUAAUGAUACGUAAUUGCCCUACACAUGGUUUGUAUUUAUGGAUGAUUAUACAAUUUUUUUAUGCCGGAUUGAAUUUUGCUUCUAUAAAUCUUUUAGAUUCGGCCGCGGGAGGCACUUUUAUGGAAAUCACUUUAGGAGAAGUUACUAAACUCCUAGACAAUAUUAUGGUUAAUUAUUCUGAAUGGCACACUGAAAGAUCUACUAAUAAGAAAGUGCAUGCGAUCGAAGAAAUUAAUGUUUUGAGUGGAAAGAUGAAUGAACUUAUGAAAUUAUUUGCUAAUAAAAGUGUUUCUUAUGAUCCUAAUGAUAUGACUUUGUCUACUUUAAUUGAGAAUAAUAAUGAAUCUAUGGAUGUGAAUUUUGUUGGUAGGAAUAAUUUUGGUAACAACGCGUAUAGAGGAAAAUUUAAUCCCAGGCCAUAUCCUAGCAAUUCCUCUAAUAAUUAG